Molecule: transfer RNA, 73 nt
Filed under: Camelus dromedarius (Arabian camel)
Lineage: Eukaryota; Metazoa; Chordata; Mammalia; Artiodactyla; Camelidae
Also listed under: 2 other names
Rfam family: tRNA
About the family: Transfer RNA (tRNA) molecules are approximately 80 nucleotides in length.
Source: Rfam by way of RNAcentral
GAGGAUAUAGCUCAAGCAGUAGAGCAUGUGCUUAGCAAGCACAACAUCUUGGGUUCAAUUCCCAGUAUUUCCU